GACGAACGCUGGCGGCGUGCCUAAUACAUGCAAGUAGAACGCUGAAGGAGGAGCUUGCUUCUCUGGAUGAGUUGCGAACGGGUGAGUAACGCGUAGGUAACCUGCCUGGUAGCGGGGGAUAACUAUUGGAAACGAUAGCUAGUACCGCAUAAGAGUAGAUGUUGCAUGACAUUUGCUUAAAAGGUGCAAUUGCAUCACUACCAGAUGGACCUGCGUUGUAUUAGCUAGUUGGUGGGGUAACGGCUCACCAAGGCGACGAUACAUAGCCGACCUGAGAGGGUGAUCGGCCACACUGGGACUGAGACACGGCCCAGACGCCUACGGGAGGCAGCAGUAGGGAAUCUUCGGCAAUGGACGGAAGUCUGACCGAGCAACGCCGCGGGAGUGCAGAAGGUUUUCGGAUCGUAAAGCUCUGUUGUAAGAGAAGAACGAGUGUGAGAGUGGAAAGUUCACACUGUGACGGUAUCUUACCAGAAAGGGACGGCUAACUACGUG
Molecule: ribosomal RNA, 495 nt
Filed under: uncultured bacterium
Lineage: Bacteria
Description: partial 16S ribosomal RNA
Rfam family: Bacterial small subunit ribosomal RNA
Source: RNAcentral